CUUAAAGGAAUUGACGGGGCCCGCACAAGCGGUGGAGCAUGUGGUUAAUUCGAAGCAACGCGAAGAACCUUACCAGGUCUUGACAUCCCGAUGCUAUUUCUAGAGAUAGAAAGUUACUUCGGUACAUCGGUGACAGGUGGUGCAUGGUUGUCGUCAGCUCGUGUCGUGAGAUGUUGGGUUAAGUCCCGCAACGAGCGCAACCCCUAUUGUUAGUUGCCAUCAUUCAGUUGGGCACUCUAGCGAGACUGCCGGUAAUAAACCGGAGGAAGGUGGGGAUGACGUCAAAUCAUCAUGCCCCUUAUGACCUGGGCUACACACGUGCUACAAUGGUUGGUACAACGAGUUGCGAGUCGGUGACGGCGGGCUAAUCUCUUAAAGCCAAUCUCAGUUCGGAUUGUAGGCUGCAACUCGCCUACAUGAAGUCGGAAUCGCUAGUAAUCGCGGAUCAGCACGCCGCGGUGAAUACGUUCCCGGGCCUU
This 479-nucleotide ribosomal RNA is filed under the name uncultured Streptococcus sp. Its description in RNAcentral is "bacterial SSU rRNA". It matches the Rfam family "Bacterial small subunit ribosomal RNA", at positions 900 to 1382 of the family's 1533-position model. Lineage: Bacteria; Bacillati; Bacillota; Bacilli; Lactobacillales; Streptococcaceae. The record is from RNAcentral.